GACGAACGCUGGCGGCGUGCCUAACACAUGCAAGUCGAGCGAUGAAACCCCUUCGGGGGUGGAUUAGCGGCGGACGGGUGAGUAACACGUGGGUAACCUGCCUCAAAGUGGGGGAUAGCCUUCCGAAAGGAAGAUUAAUACCGCAUAAAGCCAAGUUUCACAUGGAAUUUGGAUGAAAGGAGUAAUUCGCUUUGAGAUGGACCCGCGGCGCAUUAGUUAGUUGGUGGGGUAAUGGCCUACCAAGACAGCGAUGCGUAGCCGACCUGAGAGGGUGAUCGGCCACAUUGGAACUGAGAUACGGUCCAGACUCCUACGGGAGGCAGCAGUGGGGAAUAUUGCACAAUGGGCGAAAGCCUGAUGCAGCAACGCCGCGUGAGUGAUGAAGGUCUUCGGAUUGUAAAGCUCUGUCUUUUGGGACGAUAAUGACGGUACCAAAGGAGGAAGCCACGGCUAACUACGUGCCAGCAGCCGCGGUAAUACGUAGGUGGCGAGCGUUGUCCGGAUUUACUGGGCGUAAAGGGUGCGUAGGCGGAUGUUUAAGUGAGAUGUGAAAUACCCGGGCUUAACUUGGGUGCUGCAUUUCAAACUGGAUAUCUAGAGUGCAGGAGAGGAGAAUGGAAAUCCUAGUGUAGCGGUGAAAUGCGUAGAGAUUAGGAAGAACACCAGUGGCGAAGGCGAUUCUCUGGACUGUAACUGACGCUGAGGCACG
Molecule: ribosomal RNA, 709 nt
Filed under: uncultured Clostridium sp.
Lineage: Bacteria; Bacillati; Bacillota; Clostridia; Eubacteriales; Clostridiaceae
Description: bacterial SSU rRNA
Rfam family: Bacterial small subunit ribosomal RNA
Source: RNAcentral